CGAGUACGAGACGCUAAGGCGUCGAAGUAGUGUAUGUCAGACUUCCAAGAAAAGCCCGCAAUGUCAUAUGAUAAAAAAUGCCUGUACCAUAACCGACACAGGUGGGUAGGUAGAGUAUACUAAGGGGCGCGAGAUAACUCUCUCUAAGGAACUCGGCAAAAUAACUCCGUAACUUCGGGAGAAGGAGUGCCUUAUUCUAUAAGGUUGCAAUAACAAGAUCCAAGCAACUGUUUAUCAAAAACACAGGUCUCCGCUAAGUCGUAAGACGAUGUAUGGGGGCUGACGCCUGCCCAGUGCCAGAAGGUUAAAGAAGUCGGUUAGCAUUAGCGAAGCUGGUAACUGAAGCCCUGGUGAACGGCGGCCGUAACAAUAACGGUCCUAAGGUAGCGAAAUUCCUUGUCGGGUAAGUUCCGACCCGCACGAAAGGCGUAAUGAUUUGGAUACUGUCUCGGAGAGGGGCUCGGUGAAAUAGACUUGUCUGCGAAGAUGCGGACUACCUGCACCAGGACAGAAAGACCCUAUGAAGCUUUACUGUAACUUGAAAUUGAAAUUGGACUUUAUUCGCGCAGUAUAGGUGGGAGGCGUUGAUUAUAAUCUUGCGGGAUUAUUGGAGCCAUCAGUGAGAUACCACUCUUGUAAUGUUAGAUUUCUAACUUUGAAUCAUUAUCUGGUCAAAGGACAGUUUCAGGCGGGCAGUUUGACUGGGGCGGUCGCCUCCUAAACGGUAACGGAGGCGUACAAAUGUUUCCUCUGAACGGGUAGAAAUCGUAUCUAGAGUGUAAAGGCAUAAGGAAGCUUGACUGUGAGACCUACAAGUCGAGCAGGGACGAAAGUCGGUCUUAGUGAUCUGACGGUACUGAGUGGAAAGGCCGUCACUCAACGGAUAAAAGUUACUCUAAGGAUAACAGGCUGAUCUCCCCCAAGAGUUCACAUCGACGGGGAGGUUUGGCACCUCGAUGUCGGCUCAUCGCAUCCUGGGGCGGUAGUACGUCCCAAGGGUUGGGCUGUUCGCCCAUGAAAGCGGUACGCGAGCUGGGUUCAGAACGUCGUGAGACAGUUCGGUCCAUAUCCGGUGUAGGCGUUAGAAUAUUGAGAGGAGCCUUCUUUAGUACGAGAGGACCGAGAAGGACAUACCUCUGGUGUACCAGUUAUCGUGCCAACGGUAAACGCUGGGUAGCUAUGUAUGGAGUGGAUAACCGCUGAAAGCAUCUAAGUGGGAAGCCCACCUCAAGAUAAGUAUUCU
RNAcentral lists this ribosomal RNA (1243 nucleotides) under metagenome. RNAcentral describes it as "bacterial LSU rRNA". It matches the Rfam family "Bacterial large subunit ribosomal RNA", at positions 1564 to 2814 of the family's 2925-position model. The record is from RNAcentral.